RNAcentral lists this long non-coding RNA (214 nucleotides) under Elaeis guineensis (African oil palm). RNAcentral's name for it is "long non-coding RNA (EGUI_LNC026497)". The record is from RNAcentral. Lineage: Eukaryota; Viridiplantae; Streptophyta; Magnoliopsida; Arecales; Arecaceae.
CCUCAUUGAUGAUUGUCAAUAGUUACCUGCAUAAAUAACUUCCCCUUGUCUCGAUAAUGUUAUUUAGAAAGUUAUUUCUGACAAAAAAAAUAGCUAUAUGUGACCUUUUAUACGUGUGACUAGUAGCCAAAUAUAGACUUCCAAGUAUCACAUUAUAAUUAGUUAAUCAAACUUUGAACAGUCUAAUAUUUUUAAACAUUAGCUAUACUUUGCC